This is a long non-coding RNA of Lolium rigidum, 612 nucleotides long. RefSeq lists it as uncharacterized. The record is from RefSeq and is a predicted model, not a curated record. Lineage: Eukaryota; Viridiplantae; Streptophyta; Magnoliopsida; Poales; Poaceae. The transcript has 2 exons.
CUGUGUCGCUGGGAGUCCCCGCCACUGAGAGCCCGCGUCUGCUGACCGCUCCUUCCUUCCAUCUGUUUUCUCUCUCCGGUCUCCUCUCUCUCACCCAAAAACAGGUGCAGCGGCGGCGGAGACGGCCUCGACAACAGCGAGGGUGGAGACGCUGCGACACCAUGUGAGCUCGAACUCUGAUGUUGGAAUCUUCCCAUAUGCUUUUACUUUUCUGUUCAUGUUUUUCCUGUGAAUUUUGGGGAUUUUUGUUUGGUGAAAUGGGCAUAUUGGAUGUGCCGGCUAGAUAGAUGAGGCCAGAGGAUCAAGUGGCUAUAGAGAAGAUGGAGGAGGAGCAGAUGGAUGCCGCAUAUUCUCAGCAUGAAAGCAUACAACUUCCGGAUAGAUCUGUAUCAUUUCGUUUGAGUACCGUUGUUGGGGCUAAAGGAGCUGUGGUGGAUCCGUGCUCUUUGUAGCUAGCAUGCCUCUGGUGAUUUUAUAUACUCACAUGGUGUUCCUCAGACCAUAUGUGAUUACUGAUACAUUUCCACCGCGGCUGUAUAAGUAAAGAAAAUUUCGAUCAGCAUGAUGAAUUAAUUGAAUUGUCACCGAAUGGAGUCUUGUGGUUCUUCAAAA